AUUGAACGCUGGCGGCAUGCCUAACACAUGCAAGUCGAACGAGUGGCGGACGGGUGAGUAAUGUCUGGGAAACUGCCUGAUGGCGGGGGCUAACUACUGGAAACGGUAGCUAAUACCGCAUACCAUUAGAUCUGCCCAUAUGGGAUUAGCUCGUUGGUGGGGUAACGGCGCACCAAGGCGACGAUCCCUAGCUGGUCUGCGAGGAUGACCAGCCACACUGGGACUGAGACACGGUCCAGACUCCUACGGGAGGCAGCAGUGGGGAAUGUUGGACAAUGGGCGAAAGCCUGAUCCAGCCAUGCCGCGUGUAUGAAGAAGGCCUUCGGGUUGUAAAGUACUUUUGGCAGAGAAGCGUUAUCCGCAGAAUAAGCACCGGCUAACUCCGUGCCAGCAGCCGCGGUAAUUC
RNAcentral lists this ribosomal RNA (406 nucleotides) under uncultured bacterium. RNAcentral's name for it is "partial 16S ribosomal RNA". It matches the Rfam family "Bacterial small subunit ribosomal RNA", at positions 30 to 526 of the family's 1533-position model. The record is from RNAcentral.